GCCUGGGUGGCUCAGUUGGUUGAGCGCCCGACUUCGGCUCAGGUCAUGAUCUCGCGGUUCGUGGGUUUGAGCCCCGUGUCGGGCU
Transfer RNA from Felis catus (domestic cat), 85 nucleotides. It matches the Rfam family "tRNA". Rfam says of the family: Transfer RNA (tRNA) molecules are approximately 80 nucleotides in length. The record is from Rfam. NCBI's taxonomy places the organism in Eukaryota, Metazoa, Chordata, Mammalia, Carnivora, Felidae.